This 85-nucleotide transfer RNA is filed under the name Felis catus (domestic cat). It matches the Rfam family "tRNA". Rfam says of the family: Transfer RNA (tRNA) molecules are approximately 80 nucleotides in length. Their secondary structure includes four short double-helical elements and three loops (D, anti-codon, and T loops). Lineage: Eukaryota; Metazoa; Chordata; Mammalia; Carnivora; Felidae. The record is from Rfam by way of RNAcentral. RNAcentral also lists the same sequence under 1 other name.
GCCUGGGUGGCUCAGUCGGUUAAGCAUCCGACUUUGGUUCAGGUCACGCUAUCACGGUCGGUGGGUUCGAGCCCCGCUUCGGGCU